CAGGGGCGGAUCUAGCAAAGCUUUUGCCAGGGGCCAGGUAGGGCAUUAACAGAGAAAGGUGGACAUAAAGAUAUACUUUUCUUUCUUACUCUCAUAUAAAAUAUUUAGCUUUUAUUAAAUGCUUAUCCGAAUCUUACAACCAAAGUUUGUAUAAUAAUACACAAGAUUGGCUGUAGACCAUUGUUCAUAAUUCAGAACACUGUGUAAAAAUAACAAAAAACAAAAA
Long non-coding RNA from Oreochromis aureus, 226 nucleotides. Lineage: Eukaryota; Metazoa; Chordata; Actinopteri; Cichliformes; Cichlidae. The record is from Ensembl.